AUGAAGUCGGAAUUGCUAGUAAUCGCGGAUCAGCAUGCCGCGGUGAAUACGUUCCCGGGCCUUGUACACACCGCCCGUCACACCAUGAGAGCCGGUAACACCCGAAGUCAGUAGUCUAACCGCAAGGAGGGCGCUGCCGAAGGUGGGAUUGGUAAUUGGGGUGAAGUCGUAACAAGGUAAC
RNAcentral lists this ribosomal RNA (181 nucleotides) under uncultured bacterium. RNAcentral describes it as "partial 16S ribosomal RNA". It matches the Rfam family "Bacterial small subunit ribosomal RNA", at positions 1320 to 1500 of the family's 1533-position model. The record is from RNAcentral.